RNAcentral lists this long non-coding RNA (436 nucleotides) under Homo sapiens (human). RNAcentral's name for it is "HSALNT0121730". Lineage: Eukaryota; Metazoa; Chordata; Mammalia; Primates; Hominidae. The record is from RNAcentral.
UUAAGAUAACAACAACAACAACAACAACCAUGGCAAUGGGACCCUGACUGGAAGAAAGAUUUUGAUUCCUGGUCACAUCUCUUGAGGAGUGGACUAUCACUCACAGUCCCAUCUCAGCCACAAGCGUUGUGGCUGAUGGCAGGCAGCAGGGAGGACGGGAGCUGAACAGAUCAAAUGACCCUCUUUAUGCCAAUGGGUCACACCAUAAUCCUAGUGAGGCUUGUGAAGUUGUGAAGACCAUGCGUAAGCUCAAGUCAAGAUAAAUAAGAUAUGAAACUACAAACAUGAGCAUCUUGACUCCCCUGCACUUCUCACCCAUGGUGCCCCUCCUGAGCAGUGAUUCCCACCCUGGUCCAGCUUUGAUCCUACAGGAAUGAACGUGCUUCCCACCUUCAGUGAGCUUCUCCUUUUGCUCCAUCACUUCCAGCUGGAGUUU